Molecule: non-coding RNA, 212 nt
Organism: Pelobates cultripes (western spadefoot toad)
Lineage: Eukaryota; Metazoa; Chordata; Amphibia; Anura; Pelobatidae
Source: the annotation of a GenBank genome assembly
GGAAAGUAAAUUAGAAAUUGCCACACUGGAAGAUUUUGGAAUAGUAGAAUUAUACCCAAAGGCUAACAAUUAUUUCUCAACUAUGGAGAAGAUAAGGAUGAUCAGGAAUUCAAUGUGAUGUGGGAUAGGAUCUUGGAUCAUCGUUCUUUUUGAUCUUCUUAGCCAUGUCAUACCUAAAGAAGAAGGAUGCUAACAGCUCUUGAUGAGGAAAU